This 396-nucleotide ribosomal RNA is filed under the name uncultured bacterium. RNAcentral describes it as "partial 16S ribosomal RNA". It matches the Rfam family "Bacterial small subunit ribosomal RNA", at positions 523 to 917 of the family's 1533-position model. The record is from RNAcentral.
AUACGUAGGUGACAAGCGUUAUCCGGAUUUACUGGGCGUAAAGGGCGUGUAGGCGGUCUUGCAAGUCAGAAGUGAAAUUCCUGAGCUCAACUCGGGCGCUGCUUCUGAAACUGCAGGACUUGAGUGCUGGAGGGGAUAGCGGAAUUCCUAGUGGAGCGGUAAAAUGCGCAGAUAUUAGGAAGAACACCGGUGGCGAAGGCGGCUAUCUGGCCAGUAACUGACGCUGAGGCGCGAAAGCGUGGGGAGCAAACAGGAUUAGAUACCCGGGUAGUCCACGCCGUAAACGAUGAAUACUAGGUGUAGGGGGUAUCGACUCCCUCUGUGCCGCAGUUAACACAAUAAGUAUUCCGCCUGGGGAGUACGGCCGCUAGGUUGAAACUCAAAGGAAUUGACGGG